This 253-nucleotide ribosomal RNA is filed under the name uncultured bacterium. RNAcentral describes it as "partial 16S ribosomal RNA". It matches the Rfam family "Bacterial small subunit ribosomal RNA", at positions 524 to 776 of the family's 1533-position model. The record is from RNAcentral.
UACGUAGGGUGCAAGCGUUGUCCGGAAUUAUUGGGCGUAAAGAGCUCGUAGGCGGUCUGUCGCGUCGGCUGUGAAAGCCCGGAGCUCAACUCCGGGCCUGCAGUCGAUACGGGCAGACUGGAGUUCGGCAGGGGAGACUGGAAUUCCUGGUGUAGCGGUGAAAUGCGCAGAUAUCAGGAGGAACACCGGUGGCGAAGGCGGGUCUCUGGGCCGAUAUUGACGCUGAGGAGCGAAAGCGUGGGGAGCGAACAGG